GUGCCCACUUCAGCAACACAUAUACUAAAAGUGGAAUGAUAUACUAAAAGCAUGGCCCCUGAACAGGGAUGGCACACAAAUUCGUGAAGUGUUCCAUAUUUUU
Vulpes vulpes (red fox) is the source of this 103-nucleotide small nuclear RNA. NCBI's taxonomy places the organism in Eukaryota, Metazoa, Chordata, Mammalia, Carnivora, Canidae. The record is from Ensembl.